This 283-nucleotide ribosomal RNA is filed under the name uncultured Gammaproteobacteria bacterium. Its description in RNAcentral is "partial 16S ribosomal RNA". It matches the Rfam family "Bacterial small subunit ribosomal RNA", at positions 524 to 802 of the family's 1533-position model. The record is from RNAcentral. Lineage: Bacteria; Pseudomonadati; Pseudomonadota; Gammaproteobacteria.
UACAGAGGGUGCAAGCGUUUAAUCGGAAUUACUGGGCGUAAAGCGCGCGUAGGCGGUUCGAUAAGUCGGAUGUGAAAGCCCUGGGCUCAACCUGGGAAUGCCAUUCGAUACUGUCGAGCUAGAGUAUGGUAGAGGAAAGCGGAAUUCCACAUGUAGCGGUGAAAUGCGUAGAUAUGUGGAGGAACAUCAGUGGCGAAGGCGGCUUUCUGGACUAAUACUGACGCUGAGGUGCGAAAAGCGUGGGGGAGCAAAACAGGAUUAGAUACCCUGGUAGUCCACGCCC